Molecule: transfer RNA, 75 nt
Filed under: Micromonosporaceae bacterium
Lineage: Bacteria; Bacillati; Actinomycetota; Actinomycetes; Micromonosporales; Micromonosporaceae
Also listed under: 1 other name
Description: tRNA-Val
Rfam family: tRNA
About the family: Transfer RNA (tRNA) molecules are approximately 80 nucleotides in length. Their secondary structure includes four short double-helical elements and three loops (D, anti-codon, and T loops).
Source: RNAcentral
GGGCGCGUAGCUCAGCGGGAGAGCACCCGCCUUACAAGCGGGAGGUCGCUGGUUCGAAACCAGCCGCGCCCACCA